UGGGGAUACGGUUUCCAUAACGUAUGAUGGAUUGUCUGCCAGUUUGGAUGCUGAAAAUGCAGGGCGCACACCAUGUGAAGAAAGAAAUGAAAAUUUUCAGCAAAUUUUUGAUGGGGAUACGGUUUCCAUAACGUAUGAUGGAUUGUCUGCCAGGUGAAUAAUUGUGCUAAAAUUUUGUAAAAAAAAUUGUUAUGAAAUUAAUGAAAUACUUGAGCUGUACUUGUGGGAUUACAAUCCCUUGCUAAUAUUCAUGUAAUAAGUAUGACUCAUUUUUUCAUUUAUACAUUGUUACUCCUUCUGUCUAGUUUGGAUGCUGAAAAUGCAGGGCGCACACCAUGUGAAGAAAGAAAUGAAAAUUUUCAGCAGUAAGUAUUUGAGCUUACAAUUUGCUAACAUUUUUAUA
Molecule: long non-coding RNA, 403 nt
Organism: Stegodyphus dumicola
Lineage: Eukaryota; Metazoa; Arthropoda; Arachnida; Araneae; Eresidae
Source: RefSeq, a predicted model, not a curated record